AGGGGUGUGGUGUAGUGGUAACGCGUCUGUCUCCAAAACAGAAGACUAGGGUUCGAUUCCUUGCACCCCUG
RNAcentral lists this transfer RNA (71 nucleotides) under Chloroflexota bacterium. Its description in RNAcentral is "Chloroflexi bacterium (hot springs metagenome) tRNA-Trp". It matches the Rfam family "tRNA". From Rfam's summary of the family: Transfer RNA (tRNA) molecules are approximately 80 nucleotides in length. Their secondary structure includes four short double-helical elements and three loops (D, anti-codon, and T loops). The record is from RNAcentral. Lineage: Bacteria; Bacillati; Chloroflexota.